UUCCUUUGCACUUGCUUUGGCAGGAUAUAUACUAAAAUUGGAACAAUACAGAUGAUUUAACACAGCCCCUGAUCAAGGGUGACAUGAAAAUUCAUGAAGCAGGCUAAAUUUAA
Sorex araneus (European shrew) is the source of this 113-nucleotide small nuclear RNA. Lineage: Eukaryota; Metazoa; Chordata; Mammalia; Eulipotyphla; Soricidae. The record is from Ensembl.